UGCUGAGGGUGAGCAUUUCGUAAAUGCCAUCUCUGCUACCUGGAGUGAAAAAUUCUGAACAUGUCACCAGUGAAGAUUUAUUAUAGGAAUUCAUCUGAAUCAGGAAUAAGCUGUGCUCCCCUAAAGCCCACCCAUCACAGCAAGCGAUUGGAUGCAGCUGUCCCACUGACGAAUCAAAGAAAUUUCUGUCUUUUGAAUUAUACAAACCUACUCUCUUACUAGCUACAUGUCUCUCAACUAUGCAGAGUUGAGUGGAGAUUUUCACAACCACCACCAGCCCCCAGGGAGGAUGGAAUAAAAAUGGAAAGCUGUCCAUGAGACCAACUUCAUCGAAUCCUCUCAUAUGAAGAGGAAUGAAUUAAGAACAUUUAUGAUUAAUAGAAUGACCAUUGGGUGCUGGGCGGUCUUUUAUCCUUGG
Molecule: long non-coding RNA, 418 nt
Organism: Polypterus senegalus (gray bichir)
Lineage: Eukaryota; Metazoa; Chordata; Cladistia; Polypteriformes; Polypteridae
Exons: 3
Source: RefSeq, a predicted model, not a curated record